RNAcentral lists this small RNA (107 nucleotides) under Marmota monax (woodchuck). Lineage: Eukaryota; Metazoa; Chordata; Mammalia; Rodentia; Sciuridae. The record is from RNAcentral.
GCUGGGUGUGGUGGUGCAUGCUUGUAAUUCCAGCAACUAAGGAGGCUGAGGCAGGAGGAACACAAGUUCAAGGUCAUCCUGGGAAAUUUAGUGAGACUCUGUCUCAA